UGGGCUUCUACUUGAGGAGUGGUUCUGCUGCUGAAUAAUAAACUUGGCAAUAUACUGACCCUCCCUGCUCUAACAUGGUAGGAUUCUCAGACGAUCCAAACUUGGAUGCGUGGCUGGCCUGGGGAAGUGGAACAGUCCAGGAAAUAAGAAGCAAAGCGGAGCAAGAGUUGAGCCCGUAAGGAGACCAAGGCCCAAGGAGAAGGAAGAUGUGCGUGGAAUUGCAAACCAG
Molecule: long non-coding RNA, 229 nt
Filed under: Chinchilla lanigera (long-tailed chinchilla)
Lineage: Eukaryota; Metazoa; Chordata; Mammalia; Rodentia; Chinchillidae
Description: lncRNA (ENSCLAG00000027961.1)
Source: RNAcentral